AGUCGUACAGGUUUCCGUAGGUGAACCUGCGGAAGGAUCAUUAGUGAUUGACCUCCGGGUCUUAAUAACUAUAAUCUUCUACCUCUGUGAACCGUUGGUCUUCGGACCGAUUCUUAUAACAAACAUCUGUGUAAUGAACGUAACCUAUAUUAAUCAUAUAAAACUUUUAACAACGGAUCUCUUGGCUCUCGCAUCGAUGAAGAACGCAGCGAAAUGCGAUAAGUAAUGUGAAUUGCAGAAUUCAGUGAAUCAUCGAAUCUUUGAACGCACCUUGCGCCUUUUGGUAUUCCGAAAGGCAUGCCUGUUUGAGUGUCAUGAAAUAUCAACCCCUCCUGGUUUCUGAUCAGUGUUGGGCUUGGACUUGGGUGUCUGCCAGUUCGCUGGCUCGCCUUAAAAGAGUUAGUGGUAAUAACAUCCACGGCUAAGACGUAAUAAGUUUCGUCUGGUCAAGGUGUGACGACUGCUCAUAACCCGACCGCAAGGUCAUUAUUUAUGCUCUGACCUCAAAUCAGGUAGGACUACCCGCUGAACUUAAGCA
This 538-nucleotide ribosomal RNA is filed under the name uncultured fungus. RNAcentral describes it as "eukaryotic LSU rRNA". The stretch from base 162 to 315 matches the Rfam family "5.8S ribosomal RNA". The record is from RNAcentral. Lineage: Eukaryota; Fungi.